This 69-nucleotide transfer RNA is filed under the name Ictidomys tridecemlineatus (thirteen-lined ground squirrel). RNAcentral's name for it is "Spermophilus tridecemlineatus (thirteen-lined ground squirrel) tRNA". It matches the Rfam family "tRNA". From Rfam's summary of the family: Transfer RNA (tRNA) molecules are approximately 80 nucleotides in length. Their secondary structure includes four short double-helical elements and three loops (D, anti-codon, and T loops). Further hydrogen bonds mediate the characteristic L-shaped molecular structure. tRNAs have two regions of fundamental functional importance: the anti-codon, which is responsible for specific mRNA codon recognition, and the 3' end, to which the tRNAs corresponding amino acid is attached (by aminoacyl-tRNA synthetases). tRNAs cope with the degeneracy of the genetic code in two manners: having more than one tRNA (with a specific anti-codon) for a particular amino acid; and 'wobble' base-pairing, i.e. permitting non-standard base-pairing at the 3rd anti-codon position. Lineage: Eukaryota; Metazoa; Chordata; Mammalia; Rodentia; Sciuridae. The record is from Rfam by way of RNAcentral.
GGGGUUGUAGCUCAGUGAUAGAGCACUUGCCUAGCAUGCGUGAGGCACUGGGUUCAAUCCCUGGCACCA